UGCCGACCUAGUGACAUAAAAAAAAAAAUAGUGUAAGAAUCUGGCAACUAAAUUAAAUGUCAUUUAAACCAAUGGGAAUCGAUUACAGUGGGGGUAUGUUAAGUGGGGAUAAUUUGUUGGUAAGCUAGAGGAAGGAACGGAGGAGUCAUUCUGGUUGCUGAUUUUGAAGCGAGCACUAGUACUGUCAUUGGUUACUAAAUCAUAUAUUGUAUAUCCAAUACAAAUCAGAAGUGGCAAGCGUCUACUGCUCACAAAGAUCUCACCGAAUACAGCUGUAAUGGCUCAGAAAACGAAUCACAAUCUAUACUAAAACAAGAUACAAUAUUUAUAAAUAAAAGGAAAUAUGUACCCAUGACGACAAUAAAUGAAAAUAAAAAAGCUUGUUUUAAAAAUGAUAAUGAUGAAAACGGAAAUCCAAAGAGGAAUAAAGUUGAAGAAUCGUAUGAGAACGUGACAAAUAAUGAUCAAAAAUGUAUUCUCUGUGUUUUUGAUAGCGAACUGAAUAAAAGAAAUUAUUAUUUUGGAAAUUUACUUAUAGGAGAGCUUCAUUUUUGCCUCCGUGUAUGAGAUCACACGCCUACAUUAAUAUAUUGAAAUAUGUCGAAACACUUAAACAUAAGCAUUUAAAUAAUAAUUAAUAUUUUUUUUACAUAA
Long non-coding RNA from Melitaea cinxia (Glanville fritillary), 654 nucleotides. RefSeq lists it as uncharacterized. The record is from RefSeq and is a predicted model, not a curated record. NCBI's taxonomy places the organism in Eukaryota, Metazoa, Arthropoda, Insecta, Lepidoptera, Nymphalidae. The transcript is spliced from 2 exons.